GUGCUUGCUUCGGCAGCACAUAUACUAAAAAAAAUAGGAACGAUACAGAGAGGAUUAGCAUUGCCCCUGUGCCAGGAUGACAUGCAAAUUCGUAAAGCAUUCCACAUUUUU
This 111-nucleotide small nuclear RNA is filed under the name Phocoena sinus (vaquita). The record is from RNAcentral. Lineage: Eukaryota; Metazoa; Chordata; Mammalia; Artiodactyla; Phocoenidae.